This is a long non-coding RNA of Amphiprion ocellaris (clown anemonefish), 1271 nucleotides long. The record is from Ensembl. Lineage: Eukaryota; Metazoa; Chordata; Actinopteri; Pomacentridae.
ACGUCCUUAUGUGCAGCUACCGUUGUUGUCAUAGAUAUGAAUGAGUAGAUAGGACACGCCCCUUUGAGCUGCGUGCUACAGCGAGGCUAAGCUAGUGGGGAAAAAGUUUCAGUGCAUUCCGUUGAUGUAGACGGCGUGAAAACGGAAACAAGAAGUAUGCCGGCUCACUGUGCUGCAUACAAUUACACACUACGUUGUACGAUUGAGACAAGGAAACUUGGAAUGACUUUUCAUAGGUAAGAAUAGUUUUUGGCCCUUUUUUCAUUAUGAAAUCUUGUUGAGAGCUUCCAGUCUAUGAGAGCUAACUAGUUAGCCACUAGCAAAACGCUAAGGCGAGCUAGCAGCUUGACAACCAAAUACUAGACGAUUAAUAGUAGCUGUAGUAUAGUUGUACAAGCAGUAGUAGUAAUACUAAAAGUACAAGCAGCAGUAGUAGUAUAAACAGCUGUUAGAGUCGUAGAAGUAGUAUCAGCAUUUGUAAUAAUAUUACAAGUUGUAGUAGCAGUGCCAGUAUCAGCAGCAGUAGUGUGUACUACUAUUAGUAGUCACAUUACUAUUACUACCACCAAUACUACCAAUAGUAGUUAUAAAGCCUAACUCAGAUAUAUCCAGAUUACCAUCUAUGUUCUUCCUCCAAACCCAUUUUAUGAUUGGGAUUACAGGCAGUUCUUUAGGACUGCUCUCAAAUAAUUGAAACGUUAUUAAACAAGGUUAUACUUAUCAAAUUAAAUAGCUCUGGUCUCCAGUAUAUUGGCGAAUUCAGUUCUUUGUACUUAAUUUAUUAGCAUGAUUCCUUUUUAAUAUGUUGUGUACAGACUUAUUUACUUGUCUGUCUACUUUUCUUACUCCAUGUAGGUUUCCCAGAGACUAUGGGGUUGAGGAGGAAUUGGAAGUUUGUCGGCUUAGACCUGGUGUCAUUCCAUCAGUGUUAAACUUCCCGGCUCAUCUUGGAAGAGUACGUGCCAGAAAGACCACAACCAAUCAGCCUUGAGAUCUUAGGCAGCGUCUCCCUGAGACCAAGGAACUACAGACUCUUCACAACCUGCUCAAACUCUUGGUACAGGACCUCACCACACGGGUCAAGAAGGUUUCCGUCUCAUUUCUACUCUGAAGAUCACCUUCUCCUGCUCAAACUGCUGACAAAUGUUUCUGCUGCUCUAAAGUCUGGUCUCCAGAACUUCCUAAAAACUCUCAAAGUCUCUUCUGCUGCAGGUUGCUUUGUAGAACUGUUCUAGAAAACCUCACUAAACCACAUGGAGGAGCCUCAAGAU